GCGGUCGUGGCGGAAUGGCAGACGCGCCAGCUUGAGGGGCUGGUGUCCUUAAGGAUGUGGAAGUUCGAGUCUUCUCGGCCGCA
RNAcentral lists this transfer RNA (83 nucleotides) under Facklamia languida. Its description in RNAcentral is "tRNA-Leu". It matches the Rfam family "tRNA". From Rfam's summary of the family: Transfer RNA (tRNA) molecules are approximately 80 nucleotides in length. The record is from RNAcentral. Lineage: Bacteria; Bacillati; Bacillota; Bacilli; Lactobacillales; Aerococcaceae. RNAcentral also lists the same sequence under 3 other names.